AGGACGAACGCUGGCGGCGUGCUUAACACAUGCAAGUCAAGGGGGCCCAGCAAUGGGCAACCGGCGAACGGGUGCGUAACACGUGAGCAACCUACCGAAAUGUGGGGGAUAGCCGGCCUAACGGCCGAGUAAUACCGCAUACGCUCUCGAUGAGGCAUUUCAUUGAGAGGAAACCUACGGGACAUUUUGAGGGGCUCGCGGCCUAUCAGCUAGUUGGAGAGGUAACGGCUCACCAAGGCAACGACGGGUAGC
This 252-nucleotide ribosomal RNA is filed under the name uncultured soil bacterium. RNAcentral's name for it is "partial 16S ribosomal RNA". It matches the Rfam family "Bacterial small subunit ribosomal RNA", at positions 26 to 287 of the family's 1533-position model. The record is from RNAcentral.